UUUAAGAAGACACCAAAAAUAGGAAAACCCAGCUUAUCUCCUUCUUCAACCACAACAAAAAAAAAGGGACCAACAGCCCUUCCUCGUCGAAAAAGCCAUCGACGCACCGCCCAACCCCCGCGUCGUCCAGCCAGACCACCGUCGUCCCUCCAUUCCCGUCAACAGCCUUUUACCAAGCAACCAAACGAACCACCACGACCAUAAAUCCAUCUCCUUCACGUCUCAAAACCACCACUGCCCGUCACCGGAAAAAUCAAACAGACCACCCUCAUCGUCGUCAUAGACUCCCUCCGUUCGUCGCUACAUCCGUCAACCGGACGAGCUCAAC
Molecule: long non-coding RNA, 328 nt
Filed under: Nicotiana benthamiana
Lineage: Eukaryota; Viridiplantae; Streptophyta; Magnoliopsida; Solanales; Solanaceae
Description: long non-coding RNA (NBEN_LNC030812)
Source: RNAcentral